AACGCGCAGCGAGAGGUGCUUGCACCUUUCAGCGAGUGGCGAACGGGUGAGUAACACGUGGAUAACCUGCCUCAAGGCUGGGGAUAACAUUUGGAAACAGGUGCUAAUACCGAAUAAAACUUAGUAUCGCAUGAUACAAAGUUAAAAGGCGCUACGGCGUCACCUAGAGAUGGAUCCGCGGUGCAUUAGUUAGUUGGUGGGGUAAAGGCUUACCAAGACAAUGAUGCAUAGCCGAGUUGAGAGACUGAUCGGCCACAUUGGGACUGAGACACGGCCCAAACUCCUACGGGAGGCUGCAGUAGGGAAUCUUCCACAAUGGGCGCAAGCCUGAUGGAGCAACGCCGCGUGUGUGAUGAAGGCUUUCGGGUCGUAAAGCACUGUUGUAUGGGAAGAAAUGCUAAAAUAGGGAAUGAUUUUAGUUUGACGGUACCAUACCAGAAAGGGACGGCUAAAUACGUGCCAGCAGCCGCGGUAAUACGUAUGUCCCGAGCGUUAUCCGGAUUUAUUGGGCGUAAAGCGAGCGCAGACGGUUGAUUAAGUCUGAUGUGAAAGCCCGGAGCUCAACUCCGGAAUGGCAUUGGAAACUGGUUAACUUGAGUGUUGUAGAGGUAAGUGGAACUCCAUGUGUAGCGGUGGAAUGCGUAGAUAUAUGGAAGAACACCAGUGGCGAAGGCGGCUUACUGGACAACAACUGACGUUGAGGCUCGAAAGUGUGGGUAGCAAACAGGAUUAGAUACCCUGGUAGUCCACACCGUAAACGAUGAAUACUAGGUGUUAGGAGGUUUCCGCCUCUUAGUGCCGA
This 802-nucleotide ribosomal RNA is filed under the name Leuconostoc holzapfelii. RNAcentral's name for it is "bacterial SSU rRNA". It matches the Rfam family "Bacterial small subunit ribosomal RNA", at positions 65 to 849 of the family's 1533-position model. Lineage: Bacteria; Bacillati; Bacillota; Bacilli; Lactobacillales; Lactobacillaceae. The record is from RNAcentral.